CGGCGAGUGGCGAACGGGUGAGUAUAGCAUCGGAACGUGCCAAGUAGUGGGGAUAACCAAACGAAAGUUUGGCUAAUACCGCGUAAGCUCUAAGGAGGAAAGUAGGGGACCUAAAUAAGGCCUUACGCUAUUUGAUCGGCCGAUGUCGGAUUAGCUAGUUGGUGGGGUAAUGGCUCACCAAGGCAAUGAUCCGUAGCGGGUCUGAGAGGACGAUCCGCCACACUGGGACUGAGACACGGCCCAG
RNAcentral lists this ribosomal RNA (244 nucleotides) under uncultured Neisseriales bacterium. Its description in RNAcentral is "partial 16S ribosomal RNA". It matches the Rfam family "Bacterial small subunit ribosomal RNA", at positions 89 to 334 of the family's 1533-position model. The record is from RNAcentral. Lineage: Bacteria; Pseudomonadati; Pseudomonadota; Betaproteobacteria; Neisseriales.